CCUUCACCCCAAGUCCGGGGGGUAGGGACCCCUGGUUGUAGUCUCUGGAGUCAGGUCCUUGGAGGAAUUCCUCACUGAACUAUGUUUUGGACCUUUUAUUUUUCUCUAUAACCACCAGCUGAAGAAGAUUGUCUUAGACACAUGGAAGCUGAGGACGCCUACUGUCCCCUCGGAACCCAGGUGGGGCUGGGAGUCUGCUGUUUGUAUAGCCGGUGGGCUCGUGUUGCUUUGGGCAUCCCUGUGUCUGAAUUCCUGCAGUACACUCGGUGGUUUUACCUGAACCACCAGCUUCUGCAUCUCUGAAGACAGAUGAUGAGGACCCUUCACGUAAGCCGUUCGCACAGCCCUCUGCAGGCCUUUGUGCUGCACGGUCUGCCCGGCGAGAUAACUGAGUGCAUUCCAUGGUGCAUCCUCGCCUAGAAUUGAGUGGAAGCAAGUCCAUCUCAGAAGGGACAUAACUGAAGAGGGAUGGCUUUCCAGACUCUGAUGGGCAGAGAGAGCAGCAGCCUGGCAUCUCUGAGCCCGCCCUUGGUGACCUCAGAGAGAUCACCCUAGUGGCCCAGGCUAGUGACCGGGAACAUGUACCUUCCUGCAGCCAACCCCAGACGUCCACUGAUGCAUCAUAUACUGGCAAAGAUGUGAGUUCCUGUGCAUUGGUCUAACAGCAGAGACUCUGCCACAGGCCCAAGAGGUGGUGUGUGGGACAUGCAGGGGUGCAGGAGUGUAGGCAGUGCAAAAGUGUAACUGGUGACAGGGGUGCAGGGGCUGUGGAGGGCGCAGGAAGUUUAGGGGAUGCGGGGGUGCAGGGGUGCAGAAGUGC
Molecule: long non-coding RNA, 820 nt
Organism: Camelus dromedarius (Arabian camel)
Lineage: Eukaryota; Metazoa; Chordata; Mammalia; Artiodactyla; Camelidae
Exons: 4
Source: RefSeq, a predicted model, not a curated record